Molecule: ribosomal RNA, 201 nt
Filed under: uncultured prokaryote
Description: partial 16S ribosomal RNA
Rfam family: Bacterial small subunit ribosomal RNA
Source: RNAcentral
ACGUAGGAGGCAAGCGUUAUCCGGAGUUACUGGGCGUAAAGGGCGUGCAGGCGGUUGGCUAAGUUCGUUGUGAAAGCCCCCGGCUUAACCGGGGGGGGACAAUGGAGACUGGUGAGCUAGAGGGCGGUAGAGGGGAGUGGAAUUCCGGGUGUAGUGGUGAAAUGCGUAGAGAUGCGGAGGAACCCCAGUGGCGAAGGCGAC